Molecule: ribosomal RNA, 253 nt
Filed under: uncultured bacterium
Lineage: Bacteria
Description: partial 16S ribosomal RNA
Rfam family: Bacterial small subunit ribosomal RNA
Source: RNAcentral
UACAGAGGUCCCAAGCGUUGUUCGGAUUCACUGGGCGUAAAGGGUGCGUAGGAGGUCAUGUAAGUCGGAUGUGAAAUCCCGUCGCUUAACGAUGGAGCUGCAUUCGAUACUGUGUGACUAGAGGGCUGGAGAGGAGAACGGAAUUCCUGGUGUAACGGUGAAAUGCGUAGAUAUCAGGAGGAACACCGAUGGCGAAGGCAGUUCUCUGGAAAGUUCCUGACUCUGAUGCACGAAGGCCAGGGGAGCAAACGGG